RNAcentral lists this ribosomal RNA (225 nucleotides) under uncultured bacterium. RNAcentral's name for it is "partial 16S ribosomal RNA". It matches the Rfam family "Bacterial small subunit ribosomal RNA", at positions 125 to 334 of the family's 1533-position model. The record is from RNAcentral.
CCUGCCCUUCAGAGGGGGACAACAGUUGGAAACGACUGCUAAUACCGCAUACGAUCUAAUCUCGGCAUCGAGGAAAGAUGUAAGGUGGCCUCUAUUUAUAAGCUAUCACUGAAGGAGGGGAUUGCGUCUGAUUAGCUAGUUGGAGGGGUAACGGCCCACCAAGGCGAUGAUCAGUAGCCGGUCUGAGAGGAUGAACGGCCACAUUGGGACUGAGACACGGCCCAG